Molecule: long non-coding RNA, 700 nt
Filed under: Gallus gallus (chicken)
Lineage: Eukaryota; Metazoa; Chordata; Aves; Galliformes; Phasianidae
Source: RNAcentral
AUUUGAUCCUUGAAUACGCUCUUUUUCAGUAAAAUAUCUGCUAAGGAUCCUAUAACGUGUAAAGCUCCAUCUUUCUUCCUUGGAUCAAUGUUUGGUUCUGUCAAAAUCUGGUAGCAAUAUGCCAUCAUUUUUGGCAAUACCUCUUUUCUCUUCUUUGCUGCUGUAUAAAGGAGAUUCUGUGCUGCUGUUGUUGUGGAUGCAUAAUCCUCAAAUACAUCAAAUUUCAUGCGGAUAUAUUCAUAUGGAUCUUCUUGCCACAGCUCUUCGUCCUCAUCUUUGUAGCACAUUAGGGAGAAUAUCACUUCUUCUGUUAUACUCUGUAUGUGCGGCUUCAUUUGCUUCCACGUUACAGAGUGAAUGACACCUUGGUUCAGGUAAUUCAACGUUUGCUGAAGAACACGCGGUGCAACAUAGUCCUUUUGUCUGUAUUGGUCUAAGAUUCUUAAUAGAACUUGUUGUAUGCCCACAGCAUACGUUUUUAAAAAAAACUCUGAGAAUUCAAAGUAUUCUUUAGUUACAUUUCCCGGGCUUCCAUACCGUUCAAAAAGACGAGCUACAAUAUGUAAUGCCCAUUUCUUGCAUUUCCACCACACCAGCUCUGGUCUAUCAUCUUCAUCAAUUUGCAAAGUCUCCGGAGGUACAUUUCUGUCAAUGAUGGUACGGAAGAUCUCCAUCCACUGAGUCAUAGUCUGGUUAUUCA